GGAGGGGUGCGUGAGCGGUCGAAACGAGCGGUCCUGAAAACCGCCACAUCGAAAGGUGUCGUGGGUUCGAAUCCCACCCCCUCCG
Molecule: transfer RNA, 85 nt
Filed under: bacterium
Lineage: Bacteria
Description: tRNA-Ser
Rfam family: tRNA
About the family: Transfer RNA (tRNA) molecules are approximately 80 nucleotides in length. Their secondary structure includes four short double-helical elements and three loops (D, anti-codon, and T loops). Further hydrogen bonds mediate the characteristic L-shaped molecular structure. tRNAs have two regions of fundamental functional importance: the anti-codon, which is responsible for specific mRNA codon recognition, and the 3' end, to which the tRNAs corresponding amino acid is attached (by aminoacyl-tRNA synthetases). tRNAs cope with the degeneracy of the genetic code in two manners: having more than one tRNA (with a specific anti-codon) for a particular amino acid; and 'wobble' base-pairing, i.e. permitting non-standard base-pairing at the 3rd anti-codon position.
Source: RNAcentral